RNAcentral lists this ribosomal RNA (621 nucleotides) under uncultured soil bacterium. RNAcentral describes it as "bacterial SSU rRNA". It matches the Rfam family "Bacterial small subunit ribosomal RNA", at positions 35 to 635 of the family's 1533-position model. The record is from RNAcentral.
GCUGGCGGCGUGGAUAAGACAUGCAAGUCGAACGAGACUUUUCGUUGUAGCAAUACGAUGGAAAGUUAGUGGCGAACGGGUGCUUAACACGUGGGCAACCUGCCAUGAAGUGGGGGAUAGCUCGCCGAAAGGCGAAUUAAUACCGCAUGUGAUUAGAGAGGACAUCCUUUCGAAAUUAAAGUCGGGGCAACCUGACGCUUCUUGUGGGGCCCGCGGCCUAUCAGCUAGUUGGUGAGGUAACGGCUCACCAAGGCUUUGACGGGUAGCUGGUCUGAGAGGACGACCAGCCACACUGGGACUGAGACACGGCCCAGACACCUACGGGUGGCAGCAGUCGAGAAUUUUUGACAAUGGGGGAAACCCUGAUCGAGCGACGCCGCGUGGAGGAUGAAUGUCUUCGGAUUGUAAACUCCUGUCAUUGGGGAACAAUGCACAGAUAUUAACUGUAUUUGUGUUGAUAGUACCCGAAGAGGAAGAGACGGCUAACUCUGUGCCAGCAGCCGCGGUAAUACAGAGGUCUCAAGCGUUGUUCGGAUUCAUUGGGCGUAAAGGGUGCGUAGGCGGCGCGGUAAGUCGGGUGUGAAAUCUCGGGGCUUAACUCCGAAACUGCAUUCGAUACUG